UGGGGAAUCUUGGACAAUGGGGGAAACCCUGAUCCAGCCAUGCCGCGUGAGUGAAGAAGGCCUUAGGGUUGUAAAGCUCUUUCGGCGGGGACGAUAAUGACGGUACCCGCAGAAGAAGCCCCGGCUAACUCCGUGCCAGCAGCCGCGGUAAUACGGAGGGGGCUAGCGUUGUUCGGAAUUACUGGGCGUAAAGCGCACGUAGGCGGACUGUUAAGUCGGGGGUGAAAUCCUGGGGCUCAACCUCAGAAUUGCCUUCGAUACUGGCAGUCUUGAGUACGGGAGAGGUGAGUGGAAUUCCCAGUGUAGAGGUGAAAUUCGUAGAUAUUGGGAAGAACACCAGUGGCGAAGGCGGCUCACUGGCCCGUAACUGACGCUGAGGUGCGAAAGCGUGGGGAGCAAACA
This 402-nucleotide ribosomal RNA is filed under the name uncultured Hyphomicrobiales bacterium. RNAcentral describes it as "uncultured Rhizobiales bacterium partial 16S ribosomal RNA". It matches the Rfam family "Bacterial small subunit ribosomal RNA", at positions 355 to 774 of the family's 1533-position model. The record is from RNAcentral. Lineage: Bacteria; Pseudomonadati; Pseudomonadota; Alphaproteobacteria; Hyphomicrobiales.